This 1554-nucleotide ribosomal RNA is filed under the name Triticum aestivum (bread wheat). Its description in RNAcentral is "partial small subunit ribosomal RNA". Lineage: Eukaryota; Viridiplantae; Streptophyta; Magnoliopsida; Poales; Poaceae. The record is from RNAcentral.
AUGGUCGCCGCGCAGGAGCCGAGGAAGGAGUGCCCGCCGGACCUCACGAGCGGGCUCUUCAGGGCCGACGACUUCUGCACCUACAGCCCCAAGCAACUGGACGGCGAAGAUAGGCUCAGUACCCUGACCGACGAUCUUUUACUGUCCAUCUUGGGGAGAGUCAGUUCACGUGUAGCUGCAAGGACAAGUGUGCUCUCUACACGGUGGAGGCAUCUUAGUUGGUGGCUGCCUGAGCUCAGCAUCAAUGUCAAGGAUGUCCUAUCUGCUCCGUGUGCUGACCCUAUUGAGGCAAAUGAUAUGGAACAAGCUAUGGCGUCUUUAACCAAAGCAACCAGGAGUUUGUUGGAUAAACAACAGAGAGAAUCCAGUAUCUCAAGUUUGCACCUUAACUUGAUCAGCAAUUUCCUUUGCGAAGUUGGCCAACUGAUAGGUGAUGCAAUCGACAGUGGUUUGUUGAAAGAUUUGGAUCUCACCAUUCUUGAUGAGAUAGAGCCUCUCGACUGUAGUGAGGAAGAGCUGCAACAGCGAGCUCAAGACAUAGAUGCUUUUUUCACUGCCUACCCUAGUGUGCUCCUCUGCCUCACAAAGCUCUCUCUAAAAAAUGUAGGCUUUGACAAAUUGGACAUGCACCAUCUCCUGUUUGACUGCUGCAAGCAACUGACGCAUCUAACUCUUCAUCAUUGUGAUACUGGUUCCUUCUCUCUCUUUAAGAUUGAUGCACCAGGCUCAAAACUCCGUGUUCUAGAAAUCGAGAAGUGUCGCUUUCUGAGAAUCGACCUGGUGUGCCUCCCGAAAUUAGAGAAGUUCUUAUGGGAGACCUGGGUAUCUCAGGUUGCCCCAUUGACCUUUGGUUUUGUCCCAUCUCUUGGGGAAUUAGAACUCUCAAGUGGUUCAAAUUGUGAUCAACGGUUAUUUAGAUUAAGUGAACUUCUACAUGGAGUAACAAGCAUACAUACUCUCACAUUGGAUUUCCAAGGAGAAACCCUUUGGGUGCAAGCUGAAAUGGAGGAACUUCGCACCGCAUUCAGCAAACUAAGGAAGCUGUUCGUACGUGGUAUAUUUGUUGAAUUUGACAUUUCAUGGACGACAGCCUUUCUUGUAGCAGCACCAUCUAUCGAAAUGUUGCAUAUUGAGGUAUGGGAACAUACAUGCGAUGUGGGCGAGGCCAGACCUGCUUCCUACCAUGACAGAAAGAGUCCUCGGUGGGAAAUGCACUUGGACAGCAGCUCCCAGAACAGGCUUCUAAAAGAGCUAGAAUUUGCUGGAUUUAAAUCACUCGAACAACAGUUUACAUUUAUAAGAUCCAUGUUGGAGCGAUGUCCCAACUUGCAGAAGAUAGUUCUGAGAGAUGAGGAGCAGUGCGAUGACUGCGACACCCUUAAGGUACCUCGUCCUUCGAGAUUUCCAAGGAAGGAAGAUGAGCAAGAAAUGGUGGUUAAGCGGAUUAGAGAUGAAAUGUUUGUUGAUGGUCUUAGCCAGGACGCUAUAUGGCUACAUGGUGCAUUAAGUGUGUGCUUUGUGCUAAUUUUUCUUUUUCUUUUUUUGCUUCCAUAA